This 424-nucleotide ribosomal RNA is filed under the name uncultured Mycoplasmatota bacterium. RNAcentral's name for it is "bacterial SSU rRNA". It matches the Rfam family "Bacterial small subunit ribosomal RNA", at positions 9 to 435 of the family's 1533-position model. The record is from RNAcentral. Lineage: Bacteria; Bacillati; Mycoplasmatota.
GAGUUUGAUCGUGGCUCAGGAUGAACGCUGGUGGUAUGCUUAAUACAUGCAAGUCGUACGAGGUACCUUUGGUACUUAGUGGCAAACGGGUGAGUAACACGUAUUCAACCUGCCUAUUAGUGGGGGAUAACAUCUGGAAACAGUUAUUAAUCCCGCAUAAUUAUUCAUUAGGAUAACUUAAUAAAUUAAAAGAAACUUUAGUUUUGCUAGUAGAGGGGGGAUGCGUCGUAUUAGUUAGUUGGUGAGGUAACGGCUCACCAAGACGAUGAUACGUAGUCGGCCUGAGAGGGUGUUCGGCCACAUUGGGACUGAGACACGGCCCAGACUCCUACGGGAGGCAGCAGUAAGGAUAUUCCACAAUGGACGCAAGUCUGAUGGAGCAAUACCACGUGAUCGAUGACGGCUCUCGGGUUGUAAAGAUCUG